UUGUUGGUCAUACAAACCUUCAGGCCUGAUCCUCUUCUCUCUAUGGGGAGUAAUUUUGUAGCCACAGUGAUGGGAAGGGACUUUGUGUCAGCUGCAGAGCAAGAGCUAGACCUUGCGAAAAUUGUUAACGAUGAGGUUAAGAGUAAUACUCCAGUGCUAUUGUGCUCGGUUCCUGGUUAUGAUGCUUGCGGUCGUGUUAAUGAUUUAUCAGCAUCACAGAACAAGCAGUGUACAUCAAUUGCUAUUGGUUCAACUGAAGGAUUUAAUCUUGCAGAGAAAGCAAUCUCAUCAGCUUCAAAGACUGAAGAUGGGUCUUAUUGAAGAAUGUCCAUUUGGCUACCCAGCGGUUAGUGAUUAUUUUGAAUGUUGUUGUUGCAACUCAAUCCAUUCUCAAGACAAAUGUUAUCAAAUUGUUUUUAAAUUCCUGACAUUGAAAGUGAAAGUAUAUGAAUAGUCAAUCCUAGGGAAUACCAUUACCAACAGGAGCACAAGUGUGAUUGUCUGUAUCCUGAACCUUGUGAUAAUUAUUUCUAUCCAAGAUGACUAUGAGAAGUUACUAACUCGUGAUAUUAAUGUCCAGUUCCUUCAAGUACUGGCCCCAGGUGUUGUUCAUCCUAAUUGCCCCUCUAACAAGACUGGUAGUGCCACUAAUUUGUAUCCUUCAGCUAGUACUCCUUCUGGUGACAAAUCACUUGCUGAUGGGGUGGGCAUUAAUAAGAGAUUAAAAAUGGAGGAUUUGGGACUUGUCCUGGUAGACGGUGGA
Amphimedon queenslandica is the source of this 763-nucleotide RNA transcript. It is a transcript of the gene named dynein heavy chain, cytoplasmic-like, with no coding region annotated. NCBI's taxonomy places the organism in Eukaryota, Metazoa, Porifera, Demospongiae, Haplosclerida, Niphatidae. The record is from RefSeq and is a predicted model, not a curated record. The transcript has 4 exons.